GACAAUAUGGCCGAGUGGUUAAGGCGAUUGACUCGAAUCAUAGUUACUUCGACAUCAAUUGGAGUUUCUCCGCGCAGGUUCAAAUCCUGCUGUUGUCG
RNAcentral lists this transfer RNA (98 nucleotides) under Phakopsora pachyrhizi. RNAcentral's name for it is "tRNA-Ser". It matches the Rfam family "tRNA". Rfam says of the family: Transfer RNA (tRNA) molecules are approximately 80 nucleotides in length. Lineage: Eukaryota; Fungi; Basidiomycota; Pucciniomycetes; Pucciniales; Phakopsoraceae. The record is from RNAcentral.